GAUGAACGCUGGCGGCGUGCCUAAUACAUGCAAGUCGAGCGAAAAGACGAGGAGAUUGCUCCUCUGACGUUAGCGGCGAACGGGUGAGUAACACGUGGAUAACCUACCUAUAAGACUGGGAUAACUUCGGGAAACCGGAGCUAAUACCGGAUAAUCUAUUGAACCACAAGGUUAAAUAGUGAAAGACGGUUUUGCUAUAACUUAUAGAUGGACCCGCGCCGCAUUAGCUAGUUGGUAAGGUAACGGCUUACCAAGGCAACGAUGCGUAGCCGAACUGAGAGGUUGAUCGGCCACACUGGAACUGAGACACGGCCCAGACUCCUACGGGAGGCAGCAGUAGGGAAUCUUCCGCAAUGGGCGAAAGCCUGACGGAGCAACGCCGCGUGAGUGAUGAAGGUCUUCGGAUCGUAAAACUCUGUUAUUAGGGAAGAACAAAUGUGUAAGUAACUAUUCACGUCUUGACGGUACCUAAUCAGAAAGCCACGGCUAACUACGUG
Molecule: ribosomal RNA, 497 nt
Filed under: uncultured bacterium
Lineage: Bacteria
Description: partial 16S ribosomal RNA
Rfam family: Bacterial small subunit ribosomal RNA
Source: RNAcentral